ACUCACCCCUGCACCAUCCUCGCUGUCACAGUGCCUGAUGCCCCAAAACUGGAAGUGUGCCUGCCAUUGCCUUUCCCUGCCUGGUUUCCAGCAGUCCCAUCACAUGGCUCCAAAAAACAGCAUCGGGGUUUUUUUCUAGAACCCAAAUUUAUAAACAAGGGGCAAUGUCCUCUGACAAGACUGGGCAUCCAGUUCCAAUCCAAAGGCUGCCCCUUUGACCAGGCCCAUCUUCUCCACCUCACAUCAGACAGCCAAUCGGCUGCCCAGACCUCGAAACCUCAGUAACCUAGAAGGAAAUGGACCUUGGCAAACGUGUGUCAGGAGAGGAUGACUUGGAGGUGUCCACCGUGUUUCUUACUGAAGAUGUCUAAAAGUCAAUUGGGGUCAAGGAACAAGCCUCUACUCACAUGCAUGUGGGCAAAUGAAGUCACAGAACAAAUAACCUACCCUGCAUCCAGGCACGGAGUCCAGGGACACCCCCUGCUGCUGCCUAAGAGAAAGUGGCCCAAGAAGCACUGGCCCGGUGCCUGCUGAUGCCAGGAGCCCUCUGCUACUGCCUGACACAAGCAUCCUGCGCUUCCCCCUCCCAGGCCCUCCCCGAAAGCGUGGGCCACAGGUACCACUCCCUAUGCCACUGAGCCCCACAUUUCCCAUCCCCCAAGCCACUCCCACCAGCCCCAGAGCUUUCCUACAUUUAUGAUUUGUCCAAAAAUGUGAUGCCCUUCAGCCCCCAGAAGGUCAUCCUCCAGGCUGUGAUCGUCACACAGGGGGUCCCACAUGGGGUCCUCACAGGCCUUCAACCCAGCACAAAUCGUGGCCUGGUUUGACCUUUGAAAUAUCUCAACAUCUAAAAUUCAGAGCUUUUUUGGAAUAUUUAUUUUCCAUAGAUAUAAUUCUUUCAAAUAAAUUCCUUAGAAAACA
Molecule: long non-coding RNA, 921 nt
Filed under: Homo sapiens (human)
Lineage: Eukaryota; Metazoa; Chordata; Mammalia; Primates; Hominidae
Description: long intergenic non-protein coding RNA 1988
Source: RNAcentral